AUUUAAAAAAAAAAAAAAAACUAGAAAGGAUGAUGUGAUGAUCAGCAUUCUUUUGAACAACCAAGCACCUAUAUGAAAUCGCAAGAAUUUUGGUUGAAGGUUGAAGUAGCACAGAACCUUUUUCUGUGGUAAAAUUCUUCCUAUAUUUUAUUCAAAAUACUGUCGCACUUGAGCUUCAAUCUUCCUGUAUAGAAUAUGAACUGGGUCAUUUAACUGACAGGCUUUUAUUGGUAGUAGGUUUAUUGGAUUCGUCCGGACUUGAUGAACACAUGAAGCCAAACCAGUAGAACUUUUAAUCCUUCAUAUGACUGGGAAACUGUGGAGUCUAUCUCUGCAAGAUUGAUGUCAUGGCUUUUUCCAACUUCAAAAGUGUACCAGACACUGGAAUGGAAAUCCUAGUUCAACUUCAUUCGACAUUGAACUGAAUAUAAAGACUGCUGUGCUGUAUCCAAAGUGGUGAUAAUGUGCAUAAUCUAACUUUUUGAGACCCCCCAUUGACGCAAUUCAUUAUUCUGGGUUUCAAGUUAAUGUAAGUGGGGAAAUGUAUCACGAGAAACUAACAUUAUAAGUUACAAUGUGUAUCAAGGAAAUUGCAGGAUGUGAAGCAGAAACAUAUACAACAAAUGUAAGCACAGUAUUCCUAUUUGGUUAUAACUUCUAUUUGUUGGGAUGGAAUUGGAAAUCCUGAAAGGCAGUUUUCAUCUGUCAGAUUUAUUGUUUUUAUGCGAGCACUCUUCGUCUACAAAACAUGAGAUGGCCGAUGGGGAAUGAAUGCUUCAGGAUGCAAUUUUUCCUUCACAAAAGUUCAGAUCCUUGUGACAGAUUAGAUUAGGUUGUCUCCAAACACCACAUUUUCACAAUUGUUAAUCAAAUUAUAGGCAGACAGAUUUGGGAAGUAAACCAACAUGGAAACAGACAAAUAAGAGAUAAAUAUUAACUACCAGAACAUAUAAAAGAAGAAAUCAGCUUUAGAAAGGAAUAUCUUAAUGUGAAAUUUCCAAUCAUGGCACAGAAACUCAAGAGAUCUCCCAUCACAGGCUGCAGCUCAGUUGCCGGCAAUUGCAUUCGAUAAGAAAUCUUAACUGUUGCCCAAAUAGAGCUGGAUACAUCUACCUAGGAGCAAAGUUGAAUGAAUAAAUCCUCAAGCAUUACGUUAUUUCUUCUGGUAUAGCCAAUACAAUAUCGCCAACAAUUCAAUUGCCUUGGAAGAGUAAAAGAAGGCCCCAACAUUAUACAACAACUAGCUAAUAUGCUAAUUAAUGUUACAGAUGCAAAUAAGAUCUAGAAGCAUAUUAUCCACUGGCAUUAUCAGCAG
Molecule: unclassified non-coding RNA, 1315 nt
Filed under: Hevea brasiliensis (rubber tree)
Lineage: Eukaryota; Viridiplantae; Streptophyta; Magnoliopsida; Malpighiales; Euphorbiaceae
Source: RNAcentral